Pelobates cultripes (western spadefoot toad) is the source of this 10786-nucleotide non-coding RNA. The record is from the annotation of a GenBank genome assembly. NCBI's taxonomy places the organism in Eukaryota, Metazoa, Chordata, Amphibia, Anura, Pelobatidae.
GUGUUUCGUUGCGUCACGCACGGACACGUCAUCCAGGAUGUGCAGCGCCGCACGGUGUAAACAGAGCCAAGUCUCGCAGCGGGCCCUCCGUCAUGGGGAGUGAGGGAAAGAUGCCGGGCGGCCCCACCGAUCUGGAGCGGGACUGGAUCCUACAGCUCCAGGAUACGGGUAACUACUCGGCGCGAUAUCCACAGCGGGCACCGGGGAUAUGUAUCAAUAGCCGAGACCUGCGAUAAUAACCGCACAGUCAUCCCGAGCCCAGACUGGGUCCACACCGGGGCUGUGUUAUAUACCGGGGGGUCUAUAUGGCUGUGUUAUAUACCGGGGGUCCAUAUGGCUGUUAUAUACCGGGGAGGGGGUGUCCAUAUGGCUGUGUUAUAUACCGGGGGUCUAUAUGGCUGUGUUAUAUAUCAUAUGUUUAUAUACGGGGGAGGAGGGAGGGUGUCCAUAUACUGUGUUAUAGUACCGGGGGAGGGUCUAUAUGGCUGUAUAUACGGGGGUCCGCCAUGCUGUGUUAUAUACCGGGGGUGGUGUCCAUAUGGCUGUUAUAUACCGGUGUCCAUAUGGCUGUAUUUAUAUACCAGGGGGGGGGUGUCCAUAUGGCUGUGUUAUAUACCAGGGGGGGUGUCUAUAUGGAUGUGUUCUAUUCCGAGGGGGGGGGGAUUGUCCAUAUGGAUGUGUUAUAGACGGUCAUCCAAAGCAGGAAUAGCCGUGUCAGAAAAAAACAGCCGGUAGGACAGUAGGAUACCGACCAUUAUUAACAAAAAAUGGACUAUGCCCAGAGGAGUCAUAGUCAGCAUUGUUUCUAGCAAACUCAGCCCAUGGUAGUAAUUCGGACCAAUUGUCUUGAGUGCUAUUAACGAAACAAUGCAAGUAUAAUUCCAAGGACUGGUUAGCCCUCUCAGCUGUACCAUUGGUCUGGGGGUGGUAAGAGAAUGAAAAAGGCAAUUCAAUCCCUAAUUGUUUAUUGAAGGCCCUCCAAAACCGAGACACAAACUGAGAACCUCUGUCAGAUACUAUAUUGUGAGGAAUGCCAUGCAGACGGACAAUUUCUCGUAUAAAAGAUUAGUACCAGGUCUUGAGAUGACGGCAAUUUGUUGAGAGGAAUAAAAUGAGCCAUUUUAGAAAAAAGGUCUACAUGAGAAUGGUGGUAUAACUGUUAGAACUAGGAAGUUCAGCAAUGAAGUCCAUGGACAAGUGGGACCAUGGGAGCUCAGGAAUAGGAAAAGGUUGUAACAAGUCACAAGGGAGUUUGAGGCACUCUGGAAACCGCACAAACAGAACAAGCCUGCACAUAUUCCUUAACAUCCCUCCUGAGGGAAUUCCACCAGAAUGACCUCAUGAUAGCUGAAGUGGAUUUAUUAAUACCUGGGUGACCAGCAGACACAUGGUCGUGAAACACCUUCAUGAUAUUAACCCUCUCCCCCAAUGGAACAAACAGUUUGUCCUGAGGUUUACUGCAGGGCGCUUGAGACUGAGCUUCCAUGAUGGAGCCAACCAGUGGAGAGGACAAUGAAAGGACAGUGGACGCAAUGAUACAUUCCGUGGGAAUGAUAUGGGACUUUUCUUUCUCUAGUAUUGCCUCCGUAUCAAACUGCCUGGACAAGGCGUCGGCCUUAACAUUUUUAGAACCAGGUCUGUAAGUGAUAAGAAAAUUUAAAGCGAGAAAGAAAUAGAGACCACCUACCUCGCUUGUCUAGAAGAUAAUUGCUUAACAUAUCCUAUGUAAGCCAGAUUUUUGUGAUCAGUAAUGAUCAAAAGGGGGUCCUUGGAACCCUCUAAAAGAUGUCGCCACUCCUUGAGAGCUAGAAUAAUGGCCAACAAUUCUCUAUUGCCAAUAUCGUAAUUGCGCUCAGCAGGAGACAACUUUCUAGAAAACCACAAGGAUGUAACAGAGUUUCCUGGCUCUCCCUCUGGGAGAGAACUACCCUUGUCUCUGAAGCAUCAACCUCCAGUAUGAAAGGCUUACUGGUGUCAGGAUGUAUCAAUAUGUUGGUGGAGGCAAACCGCUGUUUGAGAGUUUGAAAGGCUUCAAUAGCCUCCUUAGACCAUAUCGUACUACUAGCCCCCUUGCGUGUCAUAUUGGAGAUGGGGGCUAUUACUGAAGAAAAUCCCUUUUAUAAAUCUUCUGUAAUAAUUGGCAAAACCAAUGAACCUUUGAAUGGCUUUCAAACCAGUUGGUAAAGGCCACUGUAGAACAGACUCUAGUUUUUUAGGAUCCAUCUGAAACCCCGAGGUUUCAUACCCUAAAAACUGUACUUCAGACUGGUCAAAGAUAAAUUUUUCCAAUUAACAAUAAAGUUGUUUUUUUAACAAGGUUUGCAGAACUUGUUUAAUGUGAUCGUGGUGAGACUGGAGGUCAGGAGAAUAUAUAAGGAUAUCAUCCAGAUAGACCAAGACAAACAAGUAAAUAUAAUCCCUGAGUACAUCGUUAAUGAAAUCUUGGAAAACCGCUGGAGCAUUGCACAACCUGAAUGGCAUCACUAGAUAUUCAUAGUGUCCACUUCUGGUAUUAAAUGCAGUCUUCCAGUCAUGGUUUUCCUUGAUUCUUACUAAAUUGUAAGCGCUUCUAAGGUCAAGCUUAGGAAACACUUUAGCGCCCUGGAGUCUGUUAAAUAAUUCAGCAGUAAGAGGAAUGGGGUAGGCGUUCUUAAUGGUGAUUUUGUUCAAUGCCCUGUAAUCGAUACAUGGGCGCAACUCACCAUCCUUUUUAGAUACAAAAAAGAAUCCUGCACCAGCAGGCGAGGAUGAUUUUCGUACAUGGCCUUUAUUCAUUGAAUCCUUAAUAUAUCCCUCCAUUACACUAUUCUCCUGAGGAGAUAGAGCAUAGACUGCUCCCUUAGGUGGCAUAGCACCGGGUAGUAAGUUAAUGGAACAGUCAUAUGAUCUAUGAGGAAGUAGAGUAUUAGACUGAGUCUUGCUGAAUACCUCUUUAAUGUCACUGUAUUGUAUAGGAAUCUCAGGAUUUUGAGGUGUACUAGUGGGUAAUUCUAUAGCUCCCACUCUUUUGGUGACAUGCAAUAUAUACCUUUCAUUACACUCCUUACCCCAUUCUAAUAUUUCCCCAUUAGCCCAGUCAAUGUGAGGGUUAUGCUUGCUAAGCCAUGGAAAGGACAAGAAGGAGAUGCAAUCACCUGAAAUAUAAUCUCUUCCUUAUGUAAGGCACCAAUGGAAAUAUUUAUGGGUAAGGUUUCAUGCGUUAUUAAUGGUUGUGAGAGUGGUCUCCCAUCAAUAGCUUCAACGGCUCCAUUAUACCUAAGACCUGUCUCCUUAAGGUGCGGUAGUUUCUUCAGACAAAUUGAACAAUUGUCUCUCAUAUGUCCAUUACUACCGCAGUAUAAACAUAAACCUUAAUUUCUCCUAUAUUGUUUCUCUGCCUCUGACAGUCUAGUGACCCCCAACUGCAUGGGUUCAGGUUCGGACUGUAUAGGAAGGUCAGGAACAACAGGUUCGAAGAGUUGGGGUGUUAAAGGCAUAGUCAUACGUCUGGUUUUAUUUCUAGUAUUCUCUCUGGUUCUUAGUCUAUUAUCAAUUUGCAUAACAAAUGUGAUGAACUCGUUAAGUUUUUUGGGUAGAUCUUUAGCAGCAAUCUCAUCUAGCAUAGUGUCAGUCCCUUUUUAAAUGCAGAGAUUAGCCCACUAGUAGUCCAGUCUACCUCGGAAGGCCAGGGUACGAAAUUCUAUGGCAUAAUCCGAGGUAGACUGGUUCCCUUGCCUGAUGUGCAUCAGAGCAGUGGAGGCAUCAUCCUCCCUGCCUAAAGGUUCAAACAUAAGUUAAAAUUCUGUAAGAAACUCUUGGUAAUUGUGUGCCACACUCCUAUUACUCUCUCAUAAUGGAUUGGCCCAAGCUAAAGCUUUACCUUUUAACUGAUUCAUCAGGUAACCAAUUUUAGCUCUGUCUGUUGGAAAAGAUCCUGGUGAGGCCUCAAAAUUUGCAUAAUUGCUGCUCAGCAUUAACCCUUCUGUGGAUUAGGUUGCUGCUCGGCACAACUUUUCCUGUGUGGACAGUAAAUGUCAUUAACCACAUUUUUAUAAGCGGAUGAAUACGUGACAGCCCUAUUUCUCCUGAAUAAAAUUAUAAAUAAGUAGUGUGGGUGCACUUAAAGGGACACUAUAGUCACAUGACCAACUUCAGCUUAAUGAGGUUGUUCAGAUGAGAACUAUAGCUCCCUGCAGCCUUUCUCAUGUAAACAAAGAAAAUACAGUGUUUACAUUGGAAGCUAGGAACACCUCCAGUUGCAGUCACUCAGACUGCCACCAGAGGGAUUUCCGAAUCAGUGAAUGCAUAAUUCGCAUUCAUCUUCACGUUUGACGUUUUCACGCUUGGGUGAAGACAUCAAACGUGCCAUCUGCAGACAGGAGAUAGGAGGCACUGUGAACGCGCCUCCUAUGUCCUGUAGUAACAUACUCACGUUUUUUCCCAUGCCUGGUCCCACCUUCAUGGCUGAGAUUAUCAAUCUUUAUGAUCUCAGCUAAGUCAAUGCUUUCCCUUAGUAAAGCAUUGGGAGGAUUUUGUGCAUGUGCAGAAAAUUUAUCAAUCCGCAUCUCCUCAUAGAGAUGCAUUAAAGAUACAUUUAAUUAAUCAAUCUCAAUGAAGAGCCAACACACACACACACACACACACACUUCACAUACAGGCAGCCCACACUGUAUACACACACACACCGUUCACAUACAGGCAGCCCACACUGUAUACAUCUCCUGGCUGAAGCAGCAUGGAGCUAGCCGCCUAAGGGAGCAGUAAUCAGAGUGAGUGAGUGUAUGUGUAUGAGCCUGUCAGCGUGUGUGUGUUUAGGUACCUGCCCCCUCUGAUUGCAUGAGGAAGGUGUUUUUACUCGCGUUUUUUCCCAUGCCGUGCCAGUUUUGCCACGGCUGGUCCCACCUUCAUGCCUGAGAUUAUCAAUAUUUAUGAUCUCAGCUAAGCCAAUGCUUUCCCUUAGGAAAGCAUUGGGAGGAUCUUCUGCAUGCGCAGCAAAUGUAACAAUCCGCAUCUCCUCAUAGAGAUGCAUUAAAUUAAUCAAUCUCUAUGAGGAACAUUCAACGCUUCCAUGCAGAGCUUGGAGACACUGAACGUGGGUGCUGAACACUCUUCAGCAGUAAACCAGGACACUCUCUAGUGGCUGUCGUGAUUGACUGUCACUAGAGGUGUUACUAAGCAGCAAUGUUUUCACUGAAAAGCCUGCAGUGACAGGCUAUAGACACCAGAACAACUACAUCAAGCUGUAGUGGUUCUGGUGACUAUAGUGUCCCUUUAAGAAUUGCAUUUUUCUCGUUUAAAAUGACUGGCUCCUAGAUUCCAAACAAAUUUGUCAAGCCCUGAUCUACACACCAAAGCUACUUCAUUAAGCUUAAAUUGUUUUAGUAACUAUAGUGUCCCUUUAAGCAUGUCUUCAGAGUGACUCUGUAUACACACAUACAGGUAGCCCACACUGUGUACACACACACACGUCACAUACAGGCUGUACACACACGUACACACACACUUCACAUACAGGCAGCCCACACUGUACACACACUUCACAUACAGGCAGUCCACACUGUAUACACACACACACUUCACACACAGGCAGCCCACACUGUAUACACACACACACACACACACACACACACACUUCACAUACAGACAGCCCACACUGUAUACACACACACACUUCACAUACAGGCAGCCCACUCUGUAUACACACACACACACACACUUCACAUACAGGCAGCCCACACUGUAUAUACACACACACACACACUUCACAUGCAGGCAGCCCACACUGUGUACACCCACUUCACAUACAGGCAGCCCACACUGUGUACACACACACACACCCUUCACAUGCAGGCAGCCCACACUGUGUACACACACACACUUCACAUACAGGCAGCCCACAUUGUAUACACACACACUUCACAUACAGACGGCCCACACUGUAUACACACACACACUUCACAUACAGGCAGCCCACACUGUAUACACACACACUUCACAUACAGGCAGCCCACACUGUAUACACAUACACACACUUCACAUACAGACGGCCCACACUGUAUACACACACACACUUCACAUACAGGUAGCCCACACUGUAUAUAUAUACACACACACACUUCACAUACAGGCAGCCCACACUGUAUAUAUACACACACACACUUCACAUACAGGCAGCCCACACUGUAUACACACACACACACACACUUCACAUACAGGCAGCCCACACUGCAUACACACACACUUCACAUACAGGCAGCCCACACUGUAUACACACACACUUCACAUACAGGCAGCCCACACUGUAUACACACACACUCCACAUACAGGCAACCCACACUGUAUACACACACUUCACAUACAGGCAGCCCACACUGUAUACAGACACACUUCACAUACAGGCAGCCCACACUGUACACACACACACUUCACAUACAUGCAGUCAAACACUGUGUACACACUCACUUCACAUACGGGCAGCCCACGUUGUGUGUAUACACACACACACUUCACAUACGGGCAGCCCACGUUGUGUGUAUACACACACACACUUCACAUACGGGCAGCCCACGUUGUGUGUAUACACACACACACUUCACAUGCAGGCAGCCCACACUGUGUACACCCACUUCACAUACAGGCAGCCCACAUUGUGUACACGCACACACACACACACACACACACCCUUCACAUGCAGGCAGCCCACACUGUGUACACACACACACUUCACAUACAGGCAGCCUGCACUGUGUACACACACACACACCAAGCACAGCCACCACACACUGUGACAGAAUGAGAGACUAUGGUGAGACACUCUGGGUAGUUGACCAAACUCAGAAUUUGUGCGCUAUAAAUCCAAACAGUGUAACUGAAGCAAAUGUAGGCAUGUUUGGACAUUGAACAGAGUUAGAGAAUUUUUUCUGAUCUGCUAUUUUUGCCUCUGUUUUUUUUCCGUUCAGUUUUAUUUUCUGAAACUUCCUGUGAGUUUACCAAUGCCUGAUAAGGGCCCCAAUCUUUAUAAUGAAAUUAUUUUAUGUCGGGACACCCCGGUCUACAUGUUUUCACUGUUAAAACUGAAAAGUGAAUUUAUAAAAUGUGAAAAUAGAAGGAAGCUAAAAUGCUCUCCUUUAUUCAAUUUAUUUAGAGCAGGCUUCCCCAAACUUAGGGCCUCCAGAUGUUGCAGAAUUACAACUCCCAUGAUUCUCAGCCUAUCUAUUUCAUUCAUAGAAUCAGAGUUGUAGUUCAGCAACAUCUGGGGGGCUGUAGUUUGGGGAAGCCUGAUUUUAGAGUAUGAGGACAAACAAAAAGUGGAAGAACCCAUUUCAGUCCCUCUGCUGAGCAUUGAAAGCUGGUGUUUUUUUUUUGUUUUUUUUUUAUAUAUAAUCUUUCUUCAUGUGUGAUAUUUAGCUUGUUUUUAAUUAUUUAAAUAAAAUUAAUUUAAUUGAGCUUUAGAACUGAAAAGGUUUGAGGAGAGGGGGGUAAAUCAAAUCAUGGAUUACUCCCAUGUAUAUUGUUUUUUUUUUUUUUGUUUUUUUUAUAAUUCUUUAUUUUUGUUGUGCAUGUUUUAACAACGAGCGUGUGUUGCCACAACAGCAGUUACACGCAAAAUCAUACAUUUUCAAACAUGGCAAAUAAUAUGACUGCACAUUUUUAUAUAGUAUAAAACAGAAGUGAUAUGCAUACGGCAUAGAAACAUGUUUGAUCUAUCUGUGCUAACAAUAGGGGGAGCAGGUAAUAGUUGCUUAACGGCUAGCACAUUGCAAAAUAUAAGAUAUGAAACAGUUAGAGAUUAGUCACACAUUGUAUUUAUAUGAUCUCUCGAACACAUUGUAGACAAGGUGGAGUCAGCAGCUAAUUCUUAGAUUGUAAAGGCAAACAGGACAUAUCUACAUGAAAUGAGAUUCCACUGGGUGGCCUGGCAGGUGAUCUGUUAUUGCUAAGGUGGGAUUCAUAAAGGCACAGGGUGCCAACGCAUACUAUUUAGCAUGAGGUCGUAGUGAGGGGGGGGGUGUGUACUACUGCUUUGGGCCCAAGCUGGGGGCUUAGUUAUGCAGGCCAGGAGUCCCUCAGCCUAUGCCAGUGACGGGCAUCGGUGGCAGAUACUUGCUGUGUCCAUAUAAAGCUCGCUGCCCAGUGGGGCCCCCUGGAUUAGUUCCAUCUGUGGUGUUUCCGUGUGAGGCGUCCUUCUGUACAGCCACGUGGUGCUCAGCCAUCUUCUCCGGGCGUAAAGUUGUGAGUAGGUGGUGUGGCUGCAGGGAUGUCUCGUUGAUCCAGCCGCUGUGUGCAUAGGUGCGAGUGCGUGGGUUCCGGCAGCCUGGUACUAUGGUCCGCCAUGACGGUUUUUGGCGCCUUCGUGGCCACUUAGAUGGCCUGUUGGCUUGGAGUGGGUAUCUGUAAUGGCGUCUGCGGGUCACAGGGCAGAUCCAUGAGGCGAUCGUUCUGGCUGCCUGGUUGCAGGACACUCCACGGUGGCGAAGUAGUGUCCAGAGGCCCUUGCAGAGCCUGUCGAAGCCCUCCAUGCAGCCAGCGGGUGGUGUGGCGUGUGCGCCCGCCAAUCUUGGCUUCUGCUGGGCAGCCAUUUUGUGUGUACCUUGGUGGUCCAGCGUUCCUGCCGGCGACGUAGCCAAGGGUCAGAUCAGCCUGCCUGGUCUGUCUGCCCAGUGGGGACCGGGAUAUCCCCCACCGGUCCAAAGGGGGGGGGUUUGGAAACCUGCUUGGUUGCUUGGGGUGUCCGGUGUCGGAGAGAGCGGCCGCCUCGCCCCGGCUUCUAUAGGCCGCGCUUGGUGUCCCACUUAUAUAGCUCCUACGAGCUCCAAAAAAGUCUCAUUUGGUUCAGGGGUGCACCCCCGACGUGGGUGAUGCACCCUGGCAGGUCUUUGGGCUAUUUAGCCCUCGUUUGUGCCGCUUUUCCUGCCCGUCGAGCAGGAGCUCGUGUCCCCUGCUUCUGCUCGGUUCAGCGGUCAGACUCCGCCCCCCCCCCCCAUGUAUAUUGUUUGAUGCAGACAUUAGUGUGUUCUUUGGCCAGCAGAAGCCAUCUUCAUAGUCUUUCACAUCAAUGCCAGAACUCAGGAGACCAUCAUUCUGUUGAUUAUUUUACCUUUAUUUCUUUGCCUGCAGCUGGCAAAUAGGAAACAUUAUGGGCUCAAUGUGCAUAUUCCUUUAAAGGGACACUAUAGUCACCAGAACAACCACAGCUUAUUGUAUUUGUUCCGGGGAGUAGAAUCAAUCCCUUCAGGCUUUUUGCAGUAAACACUGUUUCCUCCCACCCACCCCUCCCUCCUAGAGAAAAUGCAGUGCUCACAUUACAGCCUAGUGGUACCUCCACUGGCCACUCCUCAGAUGGCUGCUACAGGUGCUUCAUAGAGCAGUGCUGCACAGUGCUGGCUCUCUCCCUGGCCUGCCUCCUUGACAAUCUCAGCCAACCCUAUGGGGAAGGAUUGUGAUUGUCUCAGACCACCACUUCUGAUGAUGUCAGCCAAGCAGGCAGAUCAGGGGGCAGAGCCAGCAGCAGCAUACUAUAUUUUACUAUAUUUAGGGGGGACCUAGAUGGUGGUUUUAACACUAUAGGGUCAGGAAUACAUGUUUGUGUUCCUUGACCCUAUAGUGUUCCUUAAACUUUUAUAUUUUCGGUUGCUAGUCUUAUGUGCAAGAGUUGAGGAAGAGCAGAGAGUGUCAUCGGCUUCUUUAUGGUCUACCAGUGUUAUUACAGAACAUAAUGGAAAGUUUAGUCCUACAAUAGCUGGCUGCCAAGGUUGGACCUCUCUACUGUCAGACCAAUUCUUUUGCUUUAACGUAAUUUGAUAUCUAAUUUGCAUCUUUGUACGUGUGUAUUGUGAGUGCAGAGUAUUCAUGAUGUCUAUUUCUCGUCCUCCAGUGGGUGCUGUUUUCUCUAAUUAUGGCUGGUACAUCCUGUUGUGCUGUGUGGUUAUGAUGCUUCUAAAACACAAGCUGAGUGAGAAAUUCCGACAAGUCCUGGGAACUCCACGCACAUCUAGACCAGGUUUGGUAUUUUCUUUUAAAAUAAAGUGCCCAGUAAUAACACUGAAACAGACAUAUUAUACCCUGACACUAUAUUUUCACCCUUGUUCCUAGAUGAGGCUGUUAAGACAAUUUGUAUUGUACAUGUGUAGACGUGUUUAUUAGAGUACUGUUUCCCUCCCUCAUUUGUUCUGGCACCACACAUGUUCUCUGUUUUAUUCUGCAAAGGAGCAAAGCAAAUUAUUCUCUAUUUUGCCUUGCUCAUAGAAUAAUAGGACCAGAAGAAGUUUAAUGUUAUUUCAAAUACGCCCUUAACUCCAGAGUAUUAAGGAAAACUUUGCCUUAAAAGACUUCUUAUUUUUGUACUUAUUUCAUCAUUGAAUAAAUCUAGACUUUCAUCUUCAGCUGAGCAUGAGUCACCAUUGUACAUUUAUUGCUAACCUUUGGCAGUGCAGCUGCACGAUGUCCAGACAGCUGUUGUGGCUGGCUUAGUAUCAUGGGAAAAGUAGUUCCAAAGAUUAGCUGACACUACUUUAAAACAGUCUCCUUGUAUCUCCAUCUGUUGUCACCAAAGCUCUAGGCUGCUACCAUUAAACAUAUAGUGACAAACUAUGGCUCACUGAUGUUUGCAGACAUAUCCUAUUAUCAUUGGCUGAGGAUGAUAAGAAUGGUAGUUUUAAUAUUCAAUAUUAUGUAUCUUUUUCAAUUUUCUUAAAGAUCCUGAGGAGGUGGUAAGAAGACAGGAAGCAAUGGCUGCAGCGCGGUUGAGGAUGCAAGAAGAGCUCAAUGCACAGGCAGAGAUAUUUAAAGAAAGGCAAAAGCAGGUAAA